CUUUUCCACUAGCACAUAGGAUUGCACUUGUUUACAUGUUUGUUUCCACCACAAAACAGCAGGCUACUCAGGGGUAAACAUCUUUUUUCUUUCUUCAAUCAGUGAAAAUUUAUUGGGCAUGUACUUACUUACAUGCAGGCAUUUUAGAAAGUGAGCCAAAGACGAGUAAGACAAUACCCCUGUUCCAAAGGAGCUUGCAGUUCAGGAGAGAAACAGGGCAGUCAUACGAUAAAAUAAUACAGAUCAGCAUGCACCAAAGAAGAGAGGAAGGGUAUAUAACCUACACUGGGAGGUCAGGAAAGCUUCCCAGAAAUUAUAAUGUUUGAGCUGUAUUUGGAGGGGGAGAAAACAUUUCACUUAUUUUAUAUGAAGAUCAUAAACAGAACUUCAGACCCAAAGUUGUCUAGCUGCAGCUGAUGGCCACACAGCCACGGCCAAGCAUUAUAAACGGGAAGGCUCAGAUCAAAUGGAUUAUUUCUGAGUCUGGAUAUUGGGUAGCUAACACAUCUUGAGAGUUUUUUUUCCAGCUGGAAGUCAUCAUUUACAAAGCACUCUCGGGGACCAGCCUGGUGGCAUAGCGGUUAAGUUCGCAUGCUUUGCUUUGGCAGCCUGGGGUUCGUAGGUUUGGAUCCUGGGCGUGGACCUAGCACCGCUCAUCAGGCCACGCUAUGGCAGCAUCCCACGUGAAAUAGAGGAAGACUGGCACACAUUUUAGCUCAGUGACAAUCUUCCUCAAGCAAAAAGAGAAAGAUUGGCAACAGAUGUUAGCUCAGGGCCAAUCUUCCUCAAGCAAACAGAGGAAGAUUGGCAACAGACUAGCUCAGGGCCAAUCUUUGCUGCCUGCCCCUCCCCCUCCCUGACACACACAAAAGGAUACAAAGCACUCACUGGAAUAUACUAAUCAGGGGUCAGCCCCACGGCUGAGUAGCUUAAAGUUCUAUGUGCUCUGCUUCAGCUGCCUGGGGGGUUCGCGGGUUCGGAUCCCAGGUGCAGACCUAUUCCACUCGUCAGUCAUGCUGUGUAGGCAUCCCAUGUAAAAGGAGGGGAAGAUUAGCACAGAUACUAGCUCGGGGUUAAUCUUCCUCACGCAGAGAAAAAAAAGGGGGGGAUUGGCCAGGGAUGUUAGCUCAGGGUGAAUCUUCCUCACAAAGAAAAGAAAAAAAACAGAAAUAUACUAGUCAUCACUGAUUCUGCAGGCAGGGUUUAUAUGAAUGCCCCUAAAUUGUCACCCAGAAGAGCCUGAAGAUCAUGCUUCAACAUUUCCACCACGAGUCCUACUCUAUCCAGCUAUACUCACAUUUUCAGGACAAUGACCAAAUACAAAGUGGGGUCGGCGAGGAUACGUCAACACGGAGUCGGGGCCGAGGCAUUAGCAUCUGUUUUAAUUUUGAACUCUGGUACAAUAUACAGAAAUUGACCAUCUUUGCCAUUUGUAAAUGUACAGUUCAGUAGUGUUAAGUUCAUCACAUGAUUGUGCAACCUCCAGAAUUCUUUUCAUCUUGCAAAAUUGAAACUCUAUAACCAUUAAAAGAUAAUUCUCGCUUCUCCCAGCCCCUGGCAACCACCAUUGUGUCUGUCUCUAUCAAUUUGACUACCGUAGGUGCCUCCUAUAAGUGCAAUCAUACAGUAUUUGUCGUCUUUUGUGACUGGCUUAUUUCAUUCAGCACAACGUCCUCAAGGUUUAUCCAUGUGAUAGUUUGUGUCAGAAUUUCCUUGAUUUUAAAGCGGAGUAAUAUUCCCUUACAUGUAUAUACCAUCCAUAAAAAAAAGACAAAAUCAUCCCACUUGCAACAACAUGGAUGGACCUUGAAGGUUUUAUGUUAAGUGAAGUGAGCCAGGCAGAGAAAGAUAAACACUGUAUGAUCCCAUUCAAAUAUGGAAGACGAACAAAUACAUGCACAAAGAGAACAGCUUAGCGGUUACUGGGGGAAGGAGGCUGGGGGGUGGGCACAAAGGGUGAAGGGGUGCAUAUGUAUGGUGACUGACAAAGAAUAACGUACAACUGAAAUUUCACGGUGUUGCAAACUAUCAUAACCUCAAUAAAAAAAAGUCCAAUAUAAAACAGUGUUGCAAUAUACUCCCUCUUGUGUAUGUCUAUAUAAUAAAUAUCUCACAUGCUGUACUCAUAUAAAAAAAAAAAUUAAGGGCUGGCCCCAUGGACGAGUGGUUGAGUUCCUGCACGCCGCUUCACUGGGCCAGGGUUUCACUGGUUCAGAUCCUGGGCACAGACAUGGCACUGUUCAUCAAGCCAUGCUGGGGCUGUGUCCCAUAUACCACAACCAGAAGGACCUGCAGGCAGCUAGAAUGUACAACUAUGUACUGGGGGGCUUUGGGGAGAAGAAAAAAAAAAGAUUGGCAACAGAUGUUAGCUCAGCUGCCAAUCCUAAGAAAAGAAAUUAGCAAAUGAAAUCAACAACACAUAAAAAGAAUUAUACACCAUGACCAAGUAGGAUUUAUCACAAGUAUGCAAGGCUGGUUCAACACUCCAAAGUUAAUUAAUGUUAUCCAUCACAUCAAUAGGCUAAAAAAAACCCCACAUGAUCAUUUCAAUAGGUUCAGGAAAAGCAUUUGACAAAAUCCAAACCUAUUCAUGAUAAAAACUCUCAGUAAACAAGGAGUAGCCAGGAACUUGCUCAACUUGAUAAAGAAUAUCUACAAAAAUCCUACAGCUAACAUCAUACUCAAUGAUGAGAAAUUCGAAGCUAUCCCACUAAGAUCAGGUAUGAGGAUGUCCCCUCUCAUUACUCCUUUUCAACAUCGUACUGGAAUUUCUAGUUAAUGCAAUAAGACAAAAAAAGGAAAUAAAAAGCAUAUAGAUUGGGGAGGAAGAAAUAAAGCUGUUUUUGUUCACAGAUGACAUGAUCAUCUAUUUAGAAGAUCUGAAAAAAUAAACCAAGAUAACUCCUGAAACUAACAAGGGAUUACCGCAAGGUUGCAGGAUACAAGGUUAAUAUACAAAAGUCAACUGCUUUCUUAUAUACCAGCAAUGAACAAGAGAAAUUUGAAAUUAACAACACAUCAUUUACAUUACCAUCCUCAAAAAUGAAAAGCUUAGAUAUAAAUUCGGGAAAACAUGUACAAGAUCUAUAUGCGGAAAACUACAAAACUGUGAUGAAAGAAAUCAAAGAACUAAAGAAAUGCAGAGAUACUCCAUGUUCAUGGAGAAGAAGACUCAAUAUUGUCAAGAUCCCAGUUCUUCCUAACUUCAUCUAUAGAUUCAGUGCUAUCCCAAUCAAAAUCUGAGCAAGCAAUUUUGGGAGUAUUGACAAAUUGAUUCUAAAGUUUAUAUGAAGAGGCAAACCCAGAACAGCAAAAACACAACACUGAAGGAGAACAAAGUUGGAGGACUGACACUACCCAACUUCAGGCUACAAGUAAUCAAGACAGUGUGGGAUUGGCAAAGAAAAGACGAACAGAUCAAUGGAAAGGAAUAGAGAGCCCAGAAAUAGACCCACAUAAAUACAGCCAACUGAUAUUUGACAAAAAAGAAAAGGCAGUUAAAUGGAGAAAGGAUAGUCAUUUCAACAAAUCGUGUCAAAACAACUGGACAUCCAUGAGUAAAGAAACAAACAAACAAAAAACACCUAAUCUAGACAUGGAUCUUACACUUUUCUCAAAAAUUAACUCAAAAUGGAUCAUAGACCUAAAUGAAAAAGGGAAAAAUAUAAAACUCCUAGAAGAUAACAUAGGAGAAAACCUAGAUGACUUUGGGUACAGUGAUGACUUUUUAGAUAAAACACCAAAGACACAACCCAUGACAGACAUAAUUGAUAAGUUGUACUUAAUUUAAAACUUCCACUCUGUGAAAGACAAAGUCAAGAGAGCAAGAUGACAAGCCACAGGAUGGGAGAAAAAAUUUGCAAAAGGCAUUUCUGAUAAAUGAUUAUUAUCUAAAAUAUAAAAAGAACUCUUAAAACUCAACAAUAAGAGAACAAUCUGAUUUAAAAAGGGACCCAACGGGGGCUGGCCCUGUGGCCUAGUGGUUGAGUUCAGUGUGCCUCGCUUCAGCGGCCCGUGUUCCCGGGUACGGACUUACACCACUCGUCAGACAUGCUGUGGCGGUGACCCACAUAUAAAAUAGAGGAAUAUUGGGGGCCAGCUCCGUGGCACAGCGGUUAAGUUCACACAUUCUGCAUCAGUGGCCCAGGGUUCACUGGUUCAGAUCCUGGGUGCGGACCUACGCACUGCUUAUCAAGCCAUGCUGUGGCAGGCGUCUCACAUAUACAGAGGAAGAUAGGCACAAAUGUUAGCUCAGGGCCAAUCUUCCUCAGCAAAAAGAGGAGGAUUGGUGGCAGAUGUUAGCUCAGAGCUAAUCUUCCUUAAAAAAAUAAAAAUUGAGGAAGAUUGGCACAGAUGUUAGCUCAGGGCUCAUCUUCCUCAGCAAAAGACCCCACCCCGCACAAGACCCUAACAGACGUCUCACCAAAGAAGAUAUACAGAUGGCAAAUAAGCAUUUGAAAAGAUGCUCCACAUCAUAAUUCAUCAGGGAAAUGCAGAUCAGAACGAGAUACCACUAAACACCUAUUAGAAUGGCCAAAUAGCAGAAUACUGACAAGAGCCAAUGCUGAGGAUGUGGAGCAACAGGAACUCUCAUUCUUUGCUGCUGGGAGUGCAAAAUGAUACAGCAACUCUGGAAGAUAUUUUGGCAGUUUCUUACAAAUCUAAACAUACUCCUACCAUAUGAUCCAGCAAUCAUGCCCCUUGAUAUUUACUCAAAGGAGAUGAAAACUUACGUCUGCACAAAAACCUGCACACCGAUGUUUACAGCAGCUUUACUCAUAACUGCCAAAACUUGGAAGCAACCAACAUGUCCCUCAGUAUGUGGAUGGAUAAAGAAACUCUGGUACAUCUAGACAAUGGAAUAUUAUUCAGCAUUUAAAAGAAACGAGCUAUCAAGCCCUGAAAAGACAUGGAGGAACUUUAAACACAUAUUACUAAGUGAAAUAAAUCAAUCUGAAAAGUCUACAUACUGUAUGAUUCCCACUAUAUGGCAUUCUGGAAAAGGCAAAACUGGAGAUAGUAAAAAGAUCAGUGAUUACCAAAGAUUAGAGGGGAGGGAUGAAUUGGCAGAGUACAGAGGAUUUUCAGGGCAGUAAAAAUACUCCUUGUGAUACCGUGUUAACAGAUACAUGUCAUUAUACAUUUGCCCAAACCAGUAGAAUGUAUAUGACCAAGAGUGAACUGUAAUGUAAACUAUGUACCUUGGGUGAUUAUCAUGAGUCAAUGUAGGUUCAUCAACUGUAACAAAUGUAGCACUCUGGUUGGGGAUGCUGAUAAAAGGGGAGGCUCUCCAUGUGUAAGGGCAGGGAGUAUAUGGGAAAUCUCUUAUCUACCCCUCAAUUCUGCUGUGAACCUGUAAAAUGCUCUAAAAAAUAGUCUUAAUUAAAAAAAAUACAAGUGAGAGAGGUCAUGAUUGAUAGAGUGGGUGGGUACGGGAUCCAGGGCACAGAAAAAGGCUUAAGCUUUGAACAAGAUGAAGGAGCUUUUCCACUAAGCACAAGAGAGCAAGGGGGUAAAGACAGGUGCCUAGCUAUACUAAGAACUUCAAUAUUACAUAAUGGUGGCAUAAUGGCGGGAUUUAUGCUGUGAUUUACAAAGUUACUUGAUAAACUGUACACUUCAAAAUGGCUAAAUGGGGCCGGCUCCGUGGCCGAGUGGUUAAGUUCGCGCGCUCCGCUGCGGCGGCCCAGGGUUCGGAUCCUGGGUGUGGACAUGGCACCGCUCGUCAGGCCACGUCCCACAUCCCACAACUAGAAGGACCUGCAACUAAGAUAUACAACUAUGUCCCGGGGUGGGUUUGGGAAAUAAGGCAGAAAAGAGAAAGAAAAAAAAAUUGGCAACAGUUAGCCCAGGUGCCAAUCCUUAAAAAAAAAAAAGGAAGAUUGGCAACAGUUGUUAGCCUAGGUGCCAAUCUUUAAAAAACAAACAAACAAAAAAAAUGGCUAAAAUGGUAAUUUUUAUGCAUAUUUUACCACAACAAAAAACAUAUAUAAAAUUACUUGAUUACUACCCAAUUUCCAUAUUCUAAAAGGUUAGCGCUGACCAUUACAUUUCAUGGUUAGCUCAAGUUUAGUUUCUAUUUCACUAACUAUUCUAGAUUUUACAUAAGACAAGUCCUAUUUAACUUCUUGUGGCCAUGGGAAAAGAUGUAUUCCACUUUUUCCAGUUUACCUAUUCCUACUUAAUAGAAUAAACCAAAGAUCUUACCAUCUGAAAUACAUCAGAACCUUCAUCAAAAUCCACCAUACCGAAAAAUAUCCUGUUGGUUAAAUGCACUGGAGUAUCGCCAGGAGUUUGCCAGGAUCUGGAAUUCUUCAUCAGCUUGCCUGGAUGCAAUAUGAUUUUUGAAGAUAACGUAUAAAACAUUUUUCAAAGCAAUCUAGUUCAUCAGCAGGAAAACAUUCAAAGAAACAAGAGCAGUUUUUACAAUGGGGUAAAUAUUAAAAAAAAAAGACAAGCAAAUCAGGCACUACCGAGAGGGUUAGGACAACCCUUGGAAAACACUGCCAUUGUUUUGGCACAAAAGAAGCCUAAUCCCAACUGUUGGGGAUUUCAACAGAAAGUAGUAAUUACCUGCCUCCGCUUCAUAGUUUGUGCCUGUUUUCUUAUCUCAAAGCUCUUUCAAUAGUCGCUGGAAAAAUCCCAGCUAAUAGUCUCUACAACAAUUUUUUUUUAAUUAAGAUUAUGAUAGCUAACAACCUUGUGAAGUCCACAACAAUUUUAAUACCCUAAAUUACUUCUAGGAGUUGAAACACAAGAGUAAAGUAUUUCUCCAGAGAAAGUAGACGAUAACAUUAAUCCAUUAAAAAAAUCUAAAGUACAAAAUGCUACUGAGUAAAUAAAAAUACAGCCG
This 6853-nucleotide long non-coding RNA is filed under the name Equus caballus (horse). RNAcentral describes it as "lncRNA (ENSECAG00000050067.1)". The record is from RNAcentral. Lineage: Eukaryota; Metazoa; Chordata; Mammalia; Perissodactyla; Equidae.